This 1562-nucleotide long non-coding RNA is filed under the name Dasypus novemcinctus (nine-banded armadillo). Its description in RNAcentral is "lncRNA (ENSDNOG00000050033.1)". Lineage: Eukaryota; Metazoa; Chordata; Mammalia; Cingulata; Dasypodidae. The record is from RNAcentral.
GGCGGGGCGGCGCGGGCCCGGCUGCGGGCGCUGGGGGAGCGGCCUCUGCGCGAGUGUGGGUAAGUGUGCACGGGGGUGGGGCGCGUCGCUCCCACCCGCGGGGAAGCCCACCCCCGGGCACGGGUGUCGCCCGUGGUGCAUCUAAGCGCGUGCGGCUGGGUAUCCUACACCAACGGGGCAUUCUCAAACGGGCAAAUCCCGAGCGAAGCGGACACCUCAACCCUGUGUGUCCAUUGAUGACCGUGCGAGGCCUCCUGGGCUGCAGCGCGUCCUGCAGCAACGCCCGAGAUACACAUCUCCCACCGCCCAGAGAGAAGGGAACAGUCUACCUUACCCAAGUCGCACAGUCGGUAAGUGGAGCCAGGGCUGGGUGCUGCUGUCUGCCUCCCAAGCCUGCCCCCUUUAAUUGCCACCUCGUGAAGCAUGCUGGGCAGAAGAGGAAAAGGCUCCAUGGAAGGACUGGAAGAAGCGGUUACCCCUGCCUGUGGGCUGGACAUCAGGGAAGGCUUCUCAGAGGAAGGACCUUUUGUGUUGGAUCUCAGGUAGAGGUUUGCCAGGGGAAGAAAGAUGAGCCUGGAAAGGUGUGCUGAGCAGAAGGAUCAGCAUGUGGACUCAGGAUGAUGACAGGAGGUUUGUGUUUCUGUUGGAGGGGGUGCCAGUCUUUGCCCUAAAAGUAAUUCUUUUUAAAGUAAACACUGAGUGCCCCUUUCUUUCCUUCACCCUCUCCUGCCGCCUUGAUGAGGUCUGGCAGUUACUGAGUUGGCAGAACUAAUUCCCGAGCACCUGCUCCAGUCUCACCGGCCUUCCUACCCACUCUUAUGCCCCUCGAAGCCUCUGCUCUCACCAUCCCCUUGGCUGACUCCUUCUGGUCCUUAGGUCUCAGCCCAAAGAUCUCUACCCAGAGGCAUCUUUGGACCCUUUGUCAUACUAUAUUUAAUUCAUGGCACUUUUUGUUAUCUGAGCACAUCUCAUCCAUUUAUAUACACUUAUCUGCCUCCCCUCACUCCAAUUUAAGCUCCCUAUGAGCAAGGGCCUGGUGUGACUUUUUUCCAGAAUUGAGGACUGUGCCUGAGAUUUAGACUGGCUUCUAUAAAGAUUUGUUGAGGGAAGUGGACAUGGCUCAACUGAUAGAGCAUCCGCCUUCCAUAUGGAGGGUCCAGUGUUCGAUCCCCAGGGCCUCCUGACCCGUGUGCACAAGGAGAGCACCCCACAAGGAGAGCCACCCCGUGCGAAAAAAGCGAAGCCUGCCCAGGAGUGGCGCUGCACACAAGGAGAGCUAAUGCAGCAAGAUGAUGCAACAAAAAAGAGAUGCAGUUCCCCAGUGCCACCAGAUAAUGCAAGCAGAUGCAGAAGAACACACAGAGAGCGAAUGGACACAGAGAGCACACAACAGAGGGGGGAAGGAGAGAGAAAUAAAUAAAAUAAAUCUUAAAAAGAAAUAAAGAUUUGUUGAAUGAACAUAAGGAAGACCUCAGUGAAUGCAACUUACAAAAUCAAAUGGAAGGCCCAAGGAGGGCCUAUCACUGAAGGCAUUCAAAAGUGGGCCUUCAGACAGGGAAGGG